This 838-nucleotide long non-coding RNA is filed under the name Mus musculus (house mouse). RNAcentral describes it as "predicted gene, 35998". The record is from RNAcentral. Lineage: Eukaryota; Metazoa; Chordata; Mammalia; Rodentia; Muridae.
GGUGACAGUCAGCUGCCUUCUGGGAUAAUUUAGCAAAGCUCUCCAAAGAUCGUGGAACCCGCUUCCCUUUGCUUUCCCCAAAGGGUGUCACAUUCAAGCCACAUCGUUUGCAAUAUUUAUGAUCCUGCUCCCUGGUCAUCAUUAAGAGCAAGUGGGGCUGGUGGAGCUGAGCCUGCUGGGAUAGAAAAAGGAGCCAUUCUUCGAAGAUCUGUAGAAGGGGAAGCAACAAGACUGCAGGAGGCAGGCGUAAAUCAACACUUGUUGUAUACAAAGUUGGGCUCGAAUCGUCUCCCAGAAAGAACUGCCACUCUUCUCCUUGGAGAUCCUCCUUGACCAACCUAAGAAGAAUGCCUAAGGGAAAUGGGCUGACUGAAAUCUCAAGCCAAAGAUGGACAAGAGUGGGGCUUAUGACCGGUGAAAGCCUGGGCUCUUUCGCUUCUGCUGGAGUCCCUUGUGCAGCCACUGUUGGACUUCACGGGCUGUACUACGGAUUCUCCAGCUGGCCAUGAGCUAUGCAACCCUACCAAAGACACACGGUCCUCUUCUCUGCUCCACUUAAGACAGAUAACAGCAGAAAGCAAGCUAGCACUAAGCAUCAUUUAGAAGAUAGUUAUAAAGUAUGUUUAUCUUCCCAGGAAUUGAUGUCAGAAGAUGAUAAAUGGCCAUCGAUCUGGCCAGCAACAGUAGGGCAAGGCACACCUAACCUACAAUUACUCUCCUUUGCUAAUGACCCCAUUAGCCACUGGAUCAAACAGUGGGUGUGAUGAUGCUACAGUUAUUCCCUUGUCGAUACCCCUUGGCCUGAUCUAUACUGUCCCAAAUAAAUAGUAAAGGCCCC